RNAcentral lists this ribosomal RNA (253 nucleotides) under uncultured bacterium. RNAcentral describes it as "partial 16S ribosomal RNA". It matches the Rfam family "Bacterial small subunit ribosomal RNA", at positions 524 to 776 of the family's 1533-position model. The record is from RNAcentral.
GACAGAGGGUGCGAACGUUGCUCGGAAUUACUGGGCGUAAAGCGCGUGUAGGCGGAUUGGCAAGUCGGGCGUGAAAUCCCUGGGCUCAACCCAGGAACUGCACUCGAAACUGCCAGUCUUGAGGAAUGGAGAGGGAAGCGGAAUUCCUGGUGUAGAGGUGAAAUUCGUAGAUAUCAGGAGGAACACCGGUGGCGAAGGCGGCUUCCUGGACAUUUACUGACGUUGAGACGCGAAAGCGUGGGGAGCGAACAGG